UACGUAGGUGGCGAGCGUUAUCCGGAAUUAUUGGGCGUAAAGAGCGCGCAGGUGGUUGAUUAAGUCUGAUGUGAAAGCCCACGGCUUAACCGUGGAUGGUCAUUGGAAACUGGUCGACUUGAGUGCAGAAGAGGGAAGUGGAAUUCCAUGUGUAGCGGUGAAAUGCGUAGAGAUAUGGAGGAACACCAGUGGCGAAGGCGGCUUCCUGGUCUAACCCUGACGUUGAGGAGCGAAAGCCAGGGGAGCAAACAGGAUUAGAUACCCGCGUA
This 269-nucleotide ribosomal RNA is filed under the name uncultured prokaryote. RNAcentral's name for it is "partial 16S ribosomal RNA". It matches the Rfam family "Bacterial small subunit ribosomal RNA", at positions 524 to 792 of the family's 1533-position model. The record is from RNAcentral.